AGGGCUAUAGUUAAUUAUAACAUUUGGGUUGCAUUCAAAAAGUACUGAGAAGUUGGCCUUA
RNAcentral lists this transfer RNA (61 nucleotides) under Kalotermitidae sp. A SH-2022a. RNAcentral's name for it is "tRNA-Ala". The record is from RNAcentral. Lineage: Eukaryota; Metazoa; Arthropoda; Insecta; Blattodea; Kalotermitidae.